AGGGACCUUCGGGGCCCUAUCAAAUCGGUCACCUGAACCGACUACGUCAACACCCAGAACACCGGGAUGGCGCGGGGCAGGGGGCUUUCACAUAGCGGGUCCAAAGACAAAAACCUAAGGGCUCGCACGCUAAACGGAAGACAGAAA
Molecule: regulatory RNA element, 147 nt
Rfam family: L2-Alphaproteobacteria ribosomal protein leader
Source: Rfam